UGUAAGCAGCUUCUUGGCCAGAAGCUUUAUCUUGAUUUGGCAGUUCUGUUUACUUGUUCUUUACACACAGUUACUAUUUCUGCACUUUCCUUCAGCAAACAGAUUUUUUUGCCGGCUAAAAGAAGAUGCUCUAAGGUAUCUCUUUGCAGAGAUCAGAAGAACAGCCCUAAAAGACCGAAUUUAAUCACAGCGACGGAGCAACCCCCCACCGGCCCUCUGACAGGGACCCGCGGGCGGACCCCAGGCACCGUGCACCGAGGCUUGGGCAGGACACGGCCCGGUACCACACCCCGGCAGCCACCAGGAGUUUAACCCAGGUCAGUUCACUGAUCCAUUCCCUUGGAGGCAUCAAUAAGGGAGGGACGAACCACAUACCCUAAAGCCCCCAGCAGCAAGGCCUAGCAAUCUCUCCCUUGCUUCUCACCCUCAACUGAGGAGUCAACUUGCCAAGCAGGAUUUGAAGGCAGGAGAAGAAA
Molecule: long non-coding RNA, 476 nt
Organism: Calypte anna (Anna's hummingbird)
Lineage: Eukaryota; Metazoa; Chordata; Aves; Apodiformes; Trochilidae
Exons: 3
Source: RefSeq, a predicted model, not a curated record